CGGGGUGUAGCGCAGUGGUAGCGUGCCUGGCUUGGAACCAGGAAGUCGUGGGUUCGAUCCCCACCACCCCGA
RNAcentral lists this transfer RNA (72 nucleotides) under Myxococcales bacterium. RNAcentral describes it as "tRNA-Pro". It matches the Rfam family "tRNA". Rfam says of the family: Transfer RNA (tRNA) molecules are approximately 80 nucleotides in length. Their secondary structure includes four short double-helical elements and three loops (D, anti-codon, and T loops). Lineage: Bacteria; Pseudomonadati; Myxococcota; Myxococcia; Myxococcales. The record is from RNAcentral.